Molecule: long non-coding RNA, 263 nt
Filed under: Lathyrus oleraceus (garden pea)
Lineage: Eukaryota; Viridiplantae; Streptophyta; Magnoliopsida; Fabales; Fabaceae
Description: Pisum sativum (pea) long non-coding RNA (PSAT_LNC006492)
Source: RNAcentral
UCUUGUCCAUUCUUUGAUUGUGUUAUAGAACCUUUUGAUGUGUGUUUUCUUUGUGCUAGGAGUUCCAACUUGAGCUUAAUUGAGGAACCAUUACCAUGAGCUUCUAAGAGAGAGAGAUCCAAGAUACAUUGAGGAGUCUUUCCAAGAGUUCAUUUUAUUGUUGAUUGCUUGAGUUUAUGCUUUGUGUGAUUGCUUAUUCCAAAGGAUGGGAGCUACUUGGAUCAUCAAUAUGAUCUCAAGAAGGGAACUCCAUUAUGGUCUUA